AUGGUGAUAAGGAAGCUUUGGCUCAGUCACAUUACCUGUCUGUGUAAGCAUUUCAAUUCGCAGCACCUAGAAGCGAUGAAACAUGAACAUGGCUCAUGGAACAUUGUGGCCUACUCAACUCUCAAGCUUUCCUUCUCUUCUUCCAUGCUUAUCCCCAUCAGUCCUCCAUUCAUUCCUCAGAGACAACUGCCAAAAAUCGUUGUUGGAAUCCAUUGUUUGCUCUUACAAAAGAAAACAGACAAAUAUCAGAUAGAACCCAAUCAGAAGGUCACAUGCAAUUUCACAGAUGGUGGCAAAACCAGUCUAGUCCCACGUACAGGAAGAAGACACAAGAACAAUCUCUCACAGGUGGAGUUGGGUCAUUCAUCCAAAGCCUGGGAGAUUCUCAGUCUAAGGUAGGGAGAACACAGAACCAGAAUUGGUUUGAAAACUUAGAUGGUUUUGAAUGAGUACAUUGUAGGAGAGAAAAGACUUCUCAUUCAUUGCAAAGUUCACACCUGAGAUCCCUAUAACAAAGACAUAUUAACAAGAGAAAAUCAUACAAAUUUUAAGUUUUACAUGACACGAGAUUCUUCACAGGAAAUAAAGAACAAGGAAAAAGGUAUAUUUUUAUGGAC
Molecule: long non-coding RNA, 617 nt
Filed under: Oryctolagus cuniculus (rabbit)
Lineage: Eukaryota; Metazoa; Chordata; Mammalia; Lagomorpha; Leporidae
Description: lncRNA (ENSOCUG00000038115.1)
Source: RNAcentral